GAUGAACGCUAGCGGCAGGCUUAAUACAUGCAAGUCGUGGGGCAGCAGGUUUGUAGCAAUACAGAUGCUGGCGACCGGCAAACGGGUGCGGAACACGUACAGAACCUUCCUUUGAGCGGGGAAUAGCCCAGAGAAAUUUGGAUUAAUACCCCAUAGUAUAAUGAAGUGGCAUCACUUUAUUAUUAAAGAUUUAUCACUCGAAGAUGGCUGUGCGGCUGAUUAGGUAGUUGGCGGGGUAAAGGCCCACCAAGCCUGCGAUCAGUAACUGGUGUGAGAGCACGACCAGUCACACGGGCACUGAGACACGGGCCCGACUCCUACGGGAGGCAGCAGUAAGGAAUAUUGGUCAAUGGAGGCAACUCUGAACCAGCCAUGCCGCGUGGAGGAUGAAGGUCCUCUGGAUUGUAAACUUCUUUUAUAUGGGACGAAAAAAGGCUUUACUAAGUCGUCUGACGGUACCAUAUGAAUAAGCACCGGCUAACUCCGUGCCAGCAGCCG
This 498-nucleotide ribosomal RNA is filed under the name uncultured bacterium. RNAcentral's name for it is "bacterial SSU rRNA". It matches the Rfam family "Bacterial small subunit ribosomal RNA", at positions 28 to 517 of the family's 1533-position model. The record is from RNAcentral.